UUUCCGUAGGUGAACCUGCGGAAGGAUCAUUAUUGUGUAACCGAGGUGCGAGGGCUGUCGCUGACCCGAAAGGUCGUGCACGCCCGAGUGCCCUCACACACAUCCAUCUCACCCCUAUGUGCACCACCGCGUGGGUCCCCCUUUGGCUUGUUCGGAGGGGGGCUUACGUUUUCACACAAACUUUGUAUGCAGUGUAGAAUGUAUUUUUUGUUUUUGCGAUCACGCAAUCAAUACAACUUUCAACAACGGAUCUCUUGGCUCUCGUAUCGAUGAAGAACGCAGC
Molecule: unclassified non-coding RNA, 283 nt
Filed under: plant metagenome
Description: partial contains small subunit ribosomal RNA, internal transcribed spacer 1, and 5.8S ribosomal RNA
Rfam family: 5.8S ribosomal RNA (bases 235-283)
Source: RNAcentral